Long non-coding RNA from Ruditapes philippinarum (Manila clam), 1905 nucleotides. RefSeq lists it as uncharacterized. NCBI's taxonomy places the organism in Eukaryota, Metazoa, Mollusca, Bivalvia, Venerida, Veneridae. The record is from RefSeq and is a predicted model, not a curated record. The transcript is spliced from 3 exons.
UCCCGGAAAUGAGUCUAAAAAUUAUGGCAUGUAACUCAUUGUAUUGACGGCAAAAACAACGGAAUUACACGAAAUUAUGAAAAUCGAGCACAUGUUACUGACGUAGUACACAUGUCACUGACGUAGUACACAGGUUUAUUGCGUAGUACACAGGUCUAUUGAGCGCGCAACAUUCAAAGACGGCAAAAACUUCGUCUCAUACCAACAGUGAAUUGAUGAUAUCAUCUCCCCAAUAAAGAUAUACAACGAGGAAGGUGAAAUUGCUCAAGCAAAUUAUCAGAAAAAGACCUUCAAAGCUGCAAUCGGUGAUAUUCACAGUCCUGCUGACAGUGUCCAAUAUGAAAGUUCAUCGAAAAGGCAGGAACUGCUAGGGGUUGUAAUGUGUAGUUGAGGCUAGAUCUGACGGAUGGGAGGAUGAGUGCAGAAGCCUGCAUAGAAAGAUUUGGCGCAUGGAGGAGCGGAUUACUGCUUUAGAGUGUCAGAAUACAAAAGUGGAGGACCCCGAAUUAUAAGCUGUGGAACAUGUAAGUGAUACUCAAGAAGUCUUGGUUACAUUAGCAAAGACUAUCUUCACUGUGGAGGAACUUAGAAACCACUCUAGGACUGGAAAGAUGACCCAAUAAGUGCAAGGAUUACCCGAGACCACCACUUGAACCCAUGAAACUCAGCAAUUUUUAAAGACUAGUGAGGAAGAAAACCGGUGUAUCAAAAGAAGUAUUUAAUAAAAAACUAGAGAACUUACAAAAGGUCAUCAGAAGGAAAUAAAUCACAAAAUAAGUGAAACAUUGGAAACUAAACAAACUAAUUUCAAGUUCUUGGUUUUUGCACUUUUGAAAAUCAGCAAGCUGUAUUGAAGAAACUAUUUCUUAAUUCUUGUUUAACAAAGAUGUGUAGUUUUUAAAUUUUACAUGUAGUUUUACAUGUUUGUGGUUUACUUUUUAACAAUAUAGCUUAGAGCUUAUGUUGAGUACAUAUUGUUUAGACUUGUCAGUCCACAAAUUGAUUGGUAUCAUCUGUCUGCUCUGGUCUUGCAUUUUUCAUGAAUGUGAAAUAAUGUAAAUGUAGUUUAGGAACUGUUCAUGAACUGUAGUACUUGAACUGUUCUUGCACUUUUUGUGUUUUAUUAAAACAAUAUUAUUAACUUUAGGAAAUCUUAUUUGGGAGUAAGAGUGCAUCUUUAACAAGGAAAUAUUAUAAAACAAAGCAGAAGUGAAUAACCAAAAUAACUGUUUAGUUUAGAUCUAAAAAAAUGUGUUGAGACUCAAUACUUACUAUUAUAUAUAUAUAAAGCCAACAAAUGUAUAUAAAAUAUUUGCUAUUAUAUCUGCUCUUUGGAAUGAUUUUGUAUUUUCAACUUAUUCAACUACUAUAUCCAGUGAUUUUUAUGCCCCCGAAGGUGGGCAUAUUAAUUAAAAUCGCACUGUCCGUCCGUCCGGCUCUGUAUUUGGUAGUAUUCUACCAAAAUUUACCGCUGGUAUUUCAGAGGAAUUCCACUAGAAAACCAGUGGUAAACUUUUAAUGGAAUACCACAAAAGUUUACCGCUGGUAUUUCAGUAGAAUUCCACUGGAAAACCAGCGGUAAACUUUUAGUGGAAUACCACCAAAUUUUACCGCUGGUAUUUCAGUGGAAUUCCACUGAAAUACCAUCGGUAAAAUUUGGUUGAAUUCCACUGGUAUUCCAGUGGAAUUCCACUGAAAUACCAGCGGUAAAAUUUGGUGGUAUUCCACUAAAAGUUUACCGCUGGUAUUUCAGUGGUAUUCCAGUGGAAUUCCACUGAAAUACCAGCGGUAAACUUUUAGUGGAAUACCACCAAAAUUUACCGCUGGUAUUCCACUGAAAAUCCACUGGAAUACCAGCGGUAUUCCAGUGGUAUUCUAGUGGUAUUCCACUGAAUUUUUUACUGG